GACGAACGCUGGCGGCGUGCUUAACACAUGCAAGUCGAACGGAAAGGCCCUGCUUUUGUGGGGUGCUCGAGUGGCGAACGGGUGAGUAACACGUGAGUAACCUGCCCUUGACUUUGGGAUAACUUCAGGAAACUGGGGCUAAUACCGGAUAGGAGCCCCUGCUGCAUGGUGGGGGUUGGAACGUUUCGGCGGUUGGGGAUGGACUCGCGGCUUAUCAGCUUGUUGGUGGGGUAGUGGCUUACCAAGGGUUUGACGGGUCGCCGGCCUGAGAGGGUGACCGGCCACAUUGGGACUGAGAGACGGCCCAGACUCCUACGGGAGGCAGCAGUGGGGAAUAUUGCACAAUGGGCGGAAGCCUGAUGCAGCAACGCCGCGUGCGGGAUGACGGCCUUCGGGUUGUAAACCGCUUUCGCCUGUGACGAAGCGUGAGUGACGGUAAUGGGUAAAGAAGCACCGGCUAACUACGUG
RNAcentral lists this ribosomal RNA (468 nucleotides) under uncultured bacterium. RNAcentral describes it as "partial 16S ribosomal RNA". It matches the Rfam family "Bacterial small subunit ribosomal RNA", at positions 28 to 507 of the family's 1533-position model. The record is from RNAcentral.